ACGGAGGCAGCAGUGGGGAAUAUUGGGCAAUGGGCGCAAGCCUGACCCAGCAACGCCGCGUGAAGGAAGAAGGCUUUCGGGUUGUAAACUUCUUUUGGAAGGGACGAGACGAAGACGGUACCUUGUGAAUAAGCCACGGCUAACUACGUGCCAGCAGCCGCGGUAAUACGUAGGUGGGAAGCGUUGUCCGGAUUUACUGGGUGUAAAGGGCGUGUAGCCGGGUCGGUAAGUCAGAUGUGAAAUCCACGGGCUUAACUCGUGAACUGCAUUUGAAACUGCUGAUCUUGAGUAUCGGAGAGGCAAUCGGAAUUCCUUGUGUAGCGGUGAAAUGCGUAGAUAUAAGGAGGAACACCAGUGGCGAAGGCGGAUUGCUGGACUCCCACUGACGUUGAGGCGCGAAAGCGUGGGGAGCAAACAGGAUUAGAUACCCUGGUC
Molecule: ribosomal RNA, 435 nt
Filed under: uncultured Oscillibacter sp.
Lineage: Bacteria; Bacillati; Bacillota; Clostridia; Eubacteriales; Oscillospiraceae
Description: partial 16S ribosomal RNA
Rfam family: Bacterial small subunit ribosomal RNA
Source: RNAcentral